GCAUGAUAGCUCAGUUGGUAGAACAUGAGACUCCUAAUCUUAGAGUCGUGAGUUUGAGCCUCACAUUGGGCG
This is a non-coding RNA of Podarcis lilfordi (Lilford's wall lizard), 72 nucleotides long. Lineage: Eukaryota; Metazoa; Chordata; Lepidosauria; Squamata; Lacertidae. The record is from the annotation of a GenBank genome assembly.